RNA transcript from Paramacrobiotus metropolitanus, 1605 nucleotides. RefSeq lists it as uncharacterized. The record is from RefSeq and is a predicted model, not a curated record. Lineage: Eukaryota; Metazoa; Tardigrada; Eutardigrada; Parachela; Macrobiotidae. The transcript has 2 exons.
CUUUCUUUACUGGGCGUAACGGAUAAAAAUCGACGGAAGCACUGCUUCUGAAACAGAGGACGCUGCACUUCGUUCGAGUAUUAAAAAUAAUUUCGAUAUAAUAUUAUUUUAAUAUAAAUAUUUUAUCCACAUUAAAAGUAAUUUGAUAUUAAUAAGAUUAUCUAAUAGUCUAUAGUUCGCUUUUGCUUCCCGGAACUUGGCUAAACGGGGCACCUAAGACAUCUGACAGCGUUGCUGCAUGUCCUUCGAUCUGCUACCAAGCAAUGCACAGAAUACGUUAUGGUCCAUUCCUUUAUUGCAGUAUUUUGCAUUAAUUUACUGAUAUGGGCAGCAAGACAGUAUGGUGACGCCUGCAGUAUAAUACGAAAACCGUAUUCAGCUGCAACCACAUCUGGAGUUACAUUGUCCGAUGACGCAGACCUGGACCGUAAGUUGCAGAGCGGAAUAAUUUUUAAGUGGAUGAUAUUAUUCAGCAGUCGCUGGGCAGCCGUGAAGAUGAUAAAAUCACUCUAAAAUUUCCUCAUCGAAAGGAUAAGAAAAUCGACCAUAAACGUCCUUCCAAGAGCCAGCUAGUGUAUCGACCACGAAUUGGCGAAAAUGUACUAGUAACGUGUGAAGCACCCACAGAAAGCGCUCAAGCCAUAUCCUGGACACAUCAUGGCAUAGCAGUAUUUGGCGAAGGAAAACGCCUUGUGGAUGACGGAACCAACAAUCAAUUCUAUAAUAUCUCUUACCGGGGUCGAAUCUCAGUUUUUGGCGUACUGAACGUGUCCCUGCAAUCCGAAGGUGAGGUCACGUGUGUAGAAGAAUCGAGCCACCUCGGCUACAAGAGCAUAGUCCCCAUUAAACGUUUCCGCAUACUGCCUAAGGCUACUCUUGCCCGUGAAAUUUUCGCGAAACCCAUGGAAAACUUGUCAGUCAGGGAAGGCGAGAACUUAAUUAUCACUUGCAGUAUCCGACUACCUCUUCCACAACACACAGUCAAUAAUUUUCACAACUCCAUAAUUUGGCGACUGAACGAUGAUACACAUUGGGCACCUUACGAAGAACCUUACUGGACGUAUUACCUGCGCAAAUUUCCAAGCCAGUCGGCUUUACCAAACCAUACUAUUGACAAAAAUAUCACUAACACUCAUGGAUCUACAAUUGAUUACGGAAUGCUCUUUCGUUUUUUACAACAGGAAGACAGCGGUGUCAUCGAGUGCUGGUUCAGGCCCGAUUUAACCAAUCAUGAGUGGAUCGUGCAGUCAGCUCAAAUAAGUGUACAUCCCCGAAAGAAAAACACUAUAUUCUCCUAGAAUACUCUUUUAAGUUGCAUCAAAAGUGGAGAUCAACAUGAACUUUCUGAAAUGCGUAUUUCACCCAAGAGGCUUUUACGCUACCUUAGUUGUAUGUACUAUGUACAUUCAGUUCCGUUAACUGAAGUUCAAAGGUCAUGUGAUAAUAAACUGUUAAUAAACAUUUCUUUAUCUCUGGUUUCCGCGUUUCUGCUUCCUAACAUAAUACAUAAGGAAAGCAACACACUUUGGCAAAAUUGUAUUUUUGCAAACGCCCUCUGGGAAACUGUUUGUAAAGCUGGAAAGCAUGCACGGCGAAACAAUAAAA